UCCUAGCCCUGAUAAAAAUGGAAAUCCUUUGGAUUAAAAACAGUACUUUUUUCUCAUAAAAAAAGAGCGACCAACGGAAGCUCCUUUUUAUAUUUAGAAAAAGACUGUUUUUAAUCCAAAGAUUGAAAUGAAUAGCAGGAAAUAGC
Molecule: small RNA, 146 nt
Filed under: Flavobacterium xanthum
Lineage: Bacteria; Pseudomonadati; Bacteroidota; Flavobacteriia; Flavobacteriales; Flavobacteriaceae
Description: Flavo-1 RNA
Rfam family: Flavo-1 RNA
Source: RNAcentral